CAAAGGCUUGGUUCUGACUUUACUAUCAGCUCUAGCUAUAUUUACACAUGCAAGUAUCUGCCCCCCUGUGAGAAUGCCCCCUCCGUUCUCCACCCCUCGAGAACAAGGAGCCGGUAUCAGGCCCACACAUCGUAGCCUAUGACGCCUUGCUUUGCCACACCCCCACGGGAACUCAGCAGUGAUAAACAUUAAGCCAUAAGUGCAAACUUGACUUAGUUAAAGCUAAGAGGGCCGGUAAAACUCGUGCCAGCCACCGCGGUUAUACGAGAGGCCCAAGUUGAUAGUUAUCGGCGUAAAGAGUGGCCUGGGAAAAAUUACAAAAUAAAGCCGAACAUCUUCAAUACUGUUAUACGCGCUUGAAGAUAAGAAGCCCCACCACGAAAGUGGCUUUACCCCUUCCCACCCCACGAAAGCCAGGAAACAAACUGGGAUUAGAUACCCCACUAUGCCCGGCCGUAAACGUUGAUAUGUAAUUACAAAUAAUAUCCGCCCGGGUACUACGAGCGUCAGCUUAAAACCCAAAGAACUUGGCGGUGCUUUAGACCCCCCUAGAGGAGCCUGCUUCUAGAACCGAUGAUCCCCGUUCAACCUCACCCCUCCCUGUUAAUUCUGCCUAUAUACCGCCGUCGCCAGCCUACCCCGUGAAGGAAUUAUAGUGGGCCAACCUGGUACAACCCCCAACGUCAGGUCGAGGUGUAGCAUAUGGAGGGGGAAGCAGUGGGCUACAUUCGCUGGAUCAGCGAACUACGAAAGAUGAACUGAAAAACGCAUCCGAAGGUGGAUUUAGUAGUAAGAGGAGAGCAGCGUGCCCCUCUGAACCCGGCUCUUAAGCGCGUACACAUCGCCCGUCACUCUCCCCGAAUUAACCUAUAAUCGUAUGUAACAACACGGAUAACCCUAAGGGGAGGCAAGUCGUAACAUAGUAAGUGUACCGGAAGGUGCACUUGGAAAAU
RNAcentral lists this ribosomal RNA (953 nucleotides) under Upeneus parvus (dwarf goatfish). Its description in RNAcentral is "12S ribosomal RNA". It matches the Rfam family "Bacterial small subunit ribosomal RNA". The record is from RNAcentral. Lineage: Eukaryota; Metazoa; Chordata; Actinopteri; Syngnathiformes; Mullidae.